This 2098-nucleotide ribosomal RNA is filed under the name Salmonella enterica subsp. enterica serovar Wandsworth. Its description in RNAcentral is "partial 23S ribosomal RNA". It matches the Rfam family "Bacterial large subunit ribosomal RNA", at positions 711 to 2789 of the family's 2925-position model. Lineage: Bacteria; Pseudomonadati; Pseudomonadota; Gammaproteobacteria; Enterobacterales; Enterobacteriaceae. The record is from RNAcentral.
AGACCCGAAACCCGGUGAUCUAGCCAUGGGCAGGUUGAAGGUUGGGUAACACUAACUGGAGGACCGAACCGACUAAUGUUGAAAAAUUAGCGGAUGACCUGUGGCUGGGGGUGAAAGGCCAAUCAAACCGGGAGAUAGCUGGUUCUCCCCGAAAGCUAUUUAGGUAGCGCCUCGUGAAUUCAUCUCCGGGGGUAGAGCACUGUUUCGGCUAGGGGGCCAUCCCGGCUUACCAACCCGAUGCAAACUGCGAAUACCGGAGAAUGUUAUCACGGGAGACACACGGCGGGUGCUAACGUCCGUCGUGAAGAGGGAAACAACCCAGACCGCCAGCUAAGGUCCCAAAGUCAUGGUUAAGUGGGAAACGAUGUGGGAAGGCCCAGACAGCCAGGAUGUUGGCUUAGAAGCAGCCAUCAUUUAAAGAAAGCGUAAUAGCUCACUGGUCGAGUCGGCCUGCGCGGAAGAUGUAACGGGGCUAAACCAUGCACCGAAGCUGCGGCAGCGACGCUUAUGCGUUGUUGGGUAGGGGAGCGUUCUGUAAGCCUGUGAAGGUGGCCUGUGAGGGUUGCUGGAGGUAUCAGAAGUGCGAAUGCUGACAUAAGUAACGAUAAAGCGGGUGAAAAGCCCGCUCGCCGGAAGACCAAGGGUUCCUGUCCAACGUUAAUCGGGGCAGGGUGAGUCGACCCCUAAGGCGAGGCCGAAAGGCGUAGUCGAUGGGAAACGGGUUAAUAUUCCCGUACUUGGUGUUACUGCGAAGGGGGGACGGAGAAGGCUAUGUUGGCCGGGCGACGGUUGUCCCGGUUUAAGCGUGUAGGUGUGUGUUCCAGGUAAAUCCGGUUCACUUUAACACUGAGGCGUGACGACGAGGCACUACGGUGCUGAAGCAACAAAUGCCCUGCUUCCAGGAAAAGCCUCUAAGCAUCAGGUAACAUCAAAUCGUACCCCAAACCGACACAGGUGGUCAGGUAGAGAAUACCAAGGCGCUUGAGAGAACUCGGGUGAAGGAACUAGGCAAAAUGGUGCCGUAACUUCGGGAGAAGGCACGCUGACACGUAGGUGAAGUGAUUUACUCACGGAGCUGAAGUCAGUCGAAGAUACCAGCUGGCUGCAACUGUUUAUUAAAAACACAGCACUGUGCAAACACGAAAGUGGACGUAUACGGUGUGACGCCUGCCCGGUGCCGGAAGGUUAAUUGAUGGGGUCAGCGCAAGCGAAGCUCCUGAUCGAAGCCCCGGUAAACGGCGGCCGUAACUAUAACGGUCCUAAGGUAGCGAAAUUCCUUGUCGGGUAAGUUCCGACCUGCACGAAUGGCGUAAUGAUGGCCAGGCUGUCUCCACCCGAGACUCAGUGAAAUUGAACUCGCUGUGAAGAUGCAGUGUACCCGCGGCAAGACGGAAAGACCCCGUGAACCUUUACUAUAGCUUGACACUGAACAUUGAGCCUUGAUGUGUAGGAUAGGUGGGAGGCUUUGAAGUGUGGACGCCAGUCUGCAUGGAGCCGACCUUGAAAUACCACCCUUUAAUGUUUGAUGUUCUAACGUGGACCCGUAAUCCGGGUUGCGGACAGUGUCUGGUGGGUAGUUUGACUGGGGCGGUCUCCUCCUAAAGAGUAACGGAGGAGCACGAAGGUUGGCUAAUCCUGGUCGGACAUCAGGAGGUUAGUGCAAUGGCAUAAGCCAGCUUGACUGCGAGCGUGACGGCGCGAGCAGGUGCGAAAGCAGGUCAUAGUGAUCCGGUGGUUCUGAAUGGAAGGGCCAUCGCUCAACGGAUAAAAGGUACUCCGGGGAUAACAGGCUGAUACCGCCCAAGAGUUCAUAUCGACGGCGGUGUUUGGCACCUCGAUGUCGGCUCAUCACAUCCUGGGGCUGAAGUAGGUCCCAAGGGUAUGGCUGUUCGCCAUUUAAAGUGGUACGCGAGCUGGGUUUAGAACGUCGUGAGACAGUUCGGUCCCUAUCUGCCGUGGGCGCUGGAGAACUGAGGGGGGCUGCUCCUAGUACGAGAGGACCGGAGUGGACGCAUCACUGGUGUUCGGGUUGUCAUGCCAAUGGCACUGCCCGGUAGCUAAAUGCGGAAGAGAUAAGUGCUGAAAGCAUCUAAGCACG